This 252-nucleotide long non-coding RNA is filed under the name Olea europaea (common olive). Its description in RNAcentral is "long non-coding RNA (OEUR_LNC004581)". The record is from RNAcentral. Lineage: Eukaryota; Viridiplantae; Streptophyta; Magnoliopsida; Lamiales; Oleaceae.
AAACAGGAGGAGGGAAAGAAAUGCUCGGCUGGUCCAGUGAAUGAAAGGCACGAUUGGCAUCAGUCGCAAACAAUCUGCGCUUCACUGAUGACCAGAGCUGUUCAAAAAGGGGAUGGAUGGCAUGGCUAGAAUUGAAGGGGGCUAAUGAAAAAUGGCUCGUCAAAAGAAGAUUGCGAGCAUUUAUAACCUCUGCCUCCGCCUUAUUAAUAAUAUGGAAGCGGUCUAUCAAGUUCCUUGAAUAGCAAGGAGGAA